GUGAGUCAUCGAAUCUUUGAACGCACAUUGCGCCUUCUGGUAUUCCGGUAGGCAUGUCUGUCUGAGCGUCAGCAAAACAUCCUCAGCCUGAGUAUUAUUUUUUUUGUACUUAAUGCUGGUCUUGGGUAGUUGGAUGUAGGUGUAGUUAAUUCUUCCCCACCUGCGCCCUCCCUAAACUUGCUGUACGACCGCAAGCCCCUUCUAGCCCAGGUCAAUGGAGUGGUAUUACAAUCUUUCCAAAAAGCCUGCUGGUAAACUGCUUUGCGGUGUUAAACGAUAGAGUCCUCCCUCCGUGGGAGG
This 300-nucleotide unclassified non-coding RNA is filed under the name uncultured fungus. RNAcentral describes it as "sequence contains 5.8S rRNA gene, ITS2". The stretch from base 1 to 71 matches the Rfam family "5.8S ribosomal RNA", at positions 84 to 154 of the family's 154-position model. Lineage: Eukaryota; Fungi. The record is from RNAcentral.